GGGGGCUUGCCCAGGGUCUCACAGCAGGAGCAGAAACAGACAUGGCCACAGGCAGCUGAGUCUUGUCACACGUGGGGUGUGGCAGAAAGAACCUGGGGAGCACAGGGAGCCCCAGGUCAGGAGCUGUGCCAGCACCAGGACUCCCUUGUCUGAAGGCGUGAGCUCUGCAGCGUGGACGCC
RNAcentral lists this long non-coding RNA (180 nucleotides) under Ictidomys tridecemlineatus (thirteen-lined ground squirrel). RNAcentral's name for it is "lncRNA (ENSSTOG00000030488.1)". Lineage: Eukaryota; Metazoa; Chordata; Mammalia; Rodentia; Sciuridae. The record is from RNAcentral.